CAGUAGCCACGGUAAUACGGAGGGUGCAAGCGUUAUCCGGAUUUAUUGGGUUUAAAGGGUCCGUAGGCGGAUCUGUAAGUCAGUGGUGAAAUCUCACAGCUUAACUGUGAAACUGCCAUUGAUACUGCAGGUCUUGAGUAAAUUUGAAGUGGCUGGAAUAAGUAGUGUAGCGGUGAAAUGCAUAGAUAUUACUUAGAACACCAAUUGCGAAGGCAGGUCACUAAGAUUUAACUGACGCUGAUGGACGAAAGCGUGGGGAGCAAACAGGAUUAGAUACCCCAGUAGUCCCUGUCUCUUAUAC
RNAcentral lists this ribosomal RNA (301 nucleotides) under uncultured bacterium. RNAcentral describes it as "partial 16S ribosomal RNA". It matches the Rfam family "Bacterial small subunit ribosomal RNA", at positions 509 to 807 of the family's 1533-position model. The record is from RNAcentral.